This 447-nucleotide ribosomal RNA is filed under the name uncultured bacterium. RNAcentral's name for it is "bacterial SSU rRNA". It matches the Rfam family "Bacterial small subunit ribosomal RNA", at positions 331 to 792 of the family's 1533-position model. The record is from RNAcentral.
CCAGACUCCUACGGGAGGCAGCAGUGGGGAAUAUUGGGCAAUGGGCGCAAGCCUGACCCAGCAACGCCGCGUGAGGGAAGAAGGCUUUCGGGUUGUAAACUUCUUUUCUGAGGGACGAAGAAAGUGACGGUACCUCAGGAAUAAGCCACGGCUAACUACGUGCCAGCAGCCGCGGUAAUACGUAGGUGGCAAGCGUUAUCCGGAUUUAUUGGGUGUAAAGGGCGUGUAGGCGGGAAUGCAAGUCAGAUGUGAAAACUAUGGGCUCAACCCAUAGCCUGCAUUUGAAACUGUAUUUCUUGAGUGCUGGAGAGGCAAUCGGAAUUCCGUGUGUAGCGGUGAAAUGCGUAGAUAUACGGAGGAACACCAGUGGCGAAGGCGGCUUACCGGACUGUAACUGACGUUGAGGCUCGAAAGCGUGGGGAGCAAACAGGAUUAGAUACCCGGGUA